CUCAUACUAGCUACCUAAGAUUAUACAGUAUUAAUUUGCCACCAUGCGAGUGUGUGCAACUUUCAGUUUGUUUGCGUAGCGUAUCAAGGCUUGUACCACUGCAGCAAUUAACCAAGGAAAGAAAGGAAAUUGGAUCUGAAGAAUGCUGCAGACCAAUCUAUGGGCUAGAGAUUCAAAACGGAACUGCUGACAUUCAAAGGAUUGGUUCGUCAUGCCGGAGAAGAUAGAGAUCCAAGCAAAAAAACAUCGAUGCUGCAGCAGGAGAGACAAUUGGCAUUUUAGAGGAUACAAGCAAAGGAAAUGUGAUCUUCGUCCGUGGUUGGGAUGGAGUUGGGGCAUCAGCGGCAUUCAAGGCAGUAGCGCAACGCCUGAAAUCCUCAAAAUCAAAGUUUGACAGGGUUAUUCAUGUGGAUUGCUCGUUGUGGAAAAGCAUGAGGUCCCUGCAGAAGGCAAUCGCGGAGGAAGUGGAGCUUCCGCCAUCGGUGAUGGCCAUCUUAGAUCAGUGGGACGAGGAGGAUGAUUUCAGUGGGAUAGUCGAAGGCUAUCGAGGGGUGAUACCAGAUAUCAGAACAGAAAUCUUCAGAAAGCUUGCUAGCAGUAUAUUUGUGGUGAUAUUUCACAAUGGAAGUGACAAAUACAUUGAUCUCUAUGAGUGUGGUGUCCCAGCAAUAUCAUUUUUGAGUAUUAUAAGGUGUUGUGGACCUGGCACGGGAGGUUUCAAUCCAAAUACAUAAAUUUCAAGGAACGGGAAAGGAUGGAGCUGCAUACUG
Long non-coding RNA from Triticum dicoccoides, 770 nucleotides. RefSeq lists it as uncharacterized. Lineage: Eukaryota; Viridiplantae; Streptophyta; Magnoliopsida; Poales; Poaceae. The record is from RefSeq and is a predicted model, not a curated record. The transcript is spliced from 3 exons.